UACGUAGGGUGCGAGCGUUGUCCGGAAUUACUGGGCGUAAAGAGCUCAUAGGUGGUUUGUCGCGUUGUCCGUGAAAACUCACAGCUUAACUGUGGGCGUGCGGGCGAUACGGGCAGACUGGAGUACUGCAGGGGAGACUGGAAUUCCUGGUGUAGCGGUGGAAUGCGCAGAUAUCAGGAGGAACACCGGUGGCGAAGGCGGGUCUCUGGGCAGUAACUGACGCUGAGGAGCGAAAGCGUGGGGAGCGAACAGG
Molecule: ribosomal RNA, 253 nt
Filed under: uncultured bacterium
Lineage: Bacteria
Description: partial 16S ribosomal RNA
Rfam family: Bacterial small subunit ribosomal RNA
Source: RNAcentral